RNAcentral lists this unclassified non-coding RNA (218 nucleotides) under rhizosphere metagenome. RNAcentral describes it as "partial ribosomal RNA internal transcribed spacer region". The record is from RNAcentral.
GUAGGUGAACCUGCGGAAGGAUCAUUAAAGAACGCCCCGUUUUUUGAAAUGGGUAAUUCCCAAACCGUGUCUACAUACCUUUGUUGCUUUGGCAGGCCGCCUUUUAGGCGUCGGCUCCGGCUGACUGCGCCUGCCAGAGGACCCAAACUCGUUUUGUUUAGUGUCGUCUGAGUACUAUAUAAUAGUUAAAACUUUCAACAACGGAUCUCUUGGUUCUG